Scatophagus argus is the source of this 1406-nucleotide long non-coding RNA. RefSeq lists it as uncharacterized. The transcript is spliced from 2 exons. NCBI's taxonomy places the organism in Eukaryota, Metazoa, Chordata, Actinopteri, Scatophagidae. The record is from RefSeq and is a predicted model, not a curated record.
GGUGUUGUCAGUUAACUGUUAGCUCGGCAGAACGAGUGGAGAAGGGGGGUAAAAACUGACCAAUCAGGGGCCGCCACUGAGGGGCGAGGCGAUGAUGAUGAAGGACAGACUUAAUGCAUCGAUGACAGACAGCCCCAGAUGUCUUGGUGUCAUUCAUUUUUGUUUCCAAAUUCAUCCUGUGUCCUGACUGCAUCAUCCACUGGGGAACACUUAAGUAUCUGCCAAUCAGAUUCCAUUUCCUUAAGCCUGUUUACAGCAAAGCGCCGUCUCUGUGUACGUGUUUGGUGGGUUGUUAGCGUUGCAUCAGUUACUCUUCUCAAGAAUGUCACAUUCUGUACAGAGCUAAUCACAUGACUGUCAGACUUUAAUCCCUGAACCCAACAGAAAAUAUUUACCAGGAAACUAAAAGAACACAAUCACAUGCUGAUGAUGGCACGCUUUGGCAAAAAAUAGACUCUGACAGAGGGGUUUUAGUAGCUGUAGUUGUUUUGUUUUCUGAGCCUUCACUUAUUUUCAUGUAUAUUUUAUAAUUCAAAAAGCCACAUACAAAAAAAAAAACAAAAAACCAAAACAUCUGUUUGGGUUAUUUCUUCCGGUCUUUAUAAUAGACACUAAUACAUGGACUUUGUACCAAGAGGAAGGACAGACAAAUAAACAAGAUAACACAAGAAGCUCUACAUUACUUGAGUUUAUUGUCUUCACCAAAAUUGGUCCAAAGGGCUCUUAUAUGCAUUCAACAAAUCAGAUCACAAUGAAAUAUGAAAUUAUGGACAUUGAAAGAGAUUAGACUUGAGAAGGCAGCAGGAGCUCAACUGCUACACUUUGUGCCGAUGGUGUUUAUGUUAUUUUAGUGCAGGACUCCACUGCCUUCACCUUGACCUCUGCAGUAUGAAAACGAAUGACUCCAUGUCUGGUCGUCUUUAACCGUAUAAACAAACUGCCACAUCUUUGCUCAAACAGAACCAAGUCAUACUAGUAAAAAGCAACCACAACAUGUUUAAACAACUACCAGCCUGAACGUAAGCCACUUAUGCUGAACCGGAGCACUUUGGGUACAGAGCAGUUCCACAGGGAGCCAUGUUAGUGCCACUGUGCCUGCCCAUGGCUGCUUCUCAGUAACUUUGUUUUGAUUCUGUAGGAGCUGGACGCAGUGGCGGUGUUACGGAGGGCACGUUUACGCAUUUGCAGCCAAAACAUGUUAGUUCAAGAAAAGAGGUAGCAAACUAACACCCCAUGGCACAACAUGGCCAAACUCUCUAUCAGUGCCUCUGUGCUUUACCCACCCAAUCGCAGACAUCACCAGCAACUACAGACAAGCACCCCGGCUGGAGUACAAGCUGCACACUCCUGGCGUCGUCGGUUACCAUCCCUUCACAACACGACUGAGCAACAUUAUGACCCCCCCC